Hydra vulgaris (swiftwater hydra) is the source of this 788-nucleotide long non-coding RNA. RefSeq lists it as uncharacterized. The record is from RefSeq and is a predicted model, not a curated record. Lineage: Eukaryota; Metazoa; Cnidaria; Hydrozoa; Anthoathecata; Hydridae.
AAAGAAACGCGUUCAGAAAAACUAAAAAACUACGUAAGAUUGACGUAGGCAACGUUCAACGUUAAACGUUAAAUUGAAAUAUUAAUUUAAAAUUAAUACUCCAAUCUAUUGUUUAAUGUUUAAUAAUAUUUAAAUGGUGAAUUAGAUAUUAAUAAUAUUUAGAUAGUAAUUUUUUUUCAUUAUGGACUGGUGGAUGUUCUUUAUGCUUCUGUGCUGCUCUCAACUUUUAUCGAUAGCUGUUAUAAUUAUCCUUGUAGUUUUCAAUAUUUUGCUACUGCUCAAACAAAAGGAGAAUACAUUAAAAAACACUGAAAACAACAACAAAAUAUUUAAAAAGUUGUUAAAAAACGGUGGUAUCUCAAAGAUAGCCGAAAGUGAAAUUUCUUCUAAAGUUGAAAGUCAGGGACACGUCUUUUAUAUUGUAGAAAAAAUAAGCGAACUAGAAGAUAUUAUUACAAAACAAAGAAUGAAGAAUAACCUACGUAAAAGUCAAUGUCAUUCAAAGCGGCCAAGUAUUUGUGAACAUUUUUUUUUUUCGUAGAAAAUCAAAAACUAAUUCACCUUGUGAAAAUGAAGAUUAGUUUUAUACACAAUUAGAUAUUGCAAAAAUGAAAGAAAAUUGAAGAUUUAUUUUGUAUUAAUGUCAAAUAUGGUAGCAUUCUUUAUAAAAAAAAAACUUUUAAUUAAAAAAAAAAAAAAAAAAACAUUUAUAAAUCUUUAAAAACUAUAUUAAAAAAGGUAUGAAUAAAUAUAUGUAUAUAUGAUAAGAAUAUAUUAAUAAAAUAGUA